CUGCUUUGCUGACGAGUGGCGGACGGGUGAGUAAUGUCUGGGAAACUGCCUGAUGGAGGGGGAUAACUACUGGAAACGGUGGCUAAUACCGCAUAACGUCGCAAGACCAAAGAGGGGGACCUUCGGGCCUCUUGCCAUCAGAUGUGCCCAGAUGGGAUUAGCUUGUUGGUGAGGUAACGGCUCACCAAGGCGACGAUCCCUAGCUGGUCUGAGAGGAUGACCAGCCACACUGGAACUGAGACACGGUCCAGACUCCUACGGGAGGCAGCAGUGGGGAAUAUUGCACAAUGGGCGCAAGCCUGAUGCAGCCAUGCCGCGUGUAUGAAGAAGGCCUUCGGGUUGUAAAGUACUUUCAGCGGGGAGGAAGGUGUUGUGGUUAAUAACCACAGCAAUUGACGUUACCCGCAGAAGAAGCACCGGCUAACUCCGUGCCAGCAGCCGCGGUAAUACGGAGGGUGCAAGCGUUAAUCGGAAUUACUGGGCGUAAAGCGCACGCAGGCGGUCUGUCAAGUCGGAU
Molecule: ribosomal RNA, 517 nt
Filed under: Salmonella enterica
Lineage: Bacteria; Pseudomonadati; Pseudomonadota; Gammaproteobacteria; Enterobacterales; Enterobacteriaceae
Description: bacterial SSU rRNA
Rfam family: Bacterial small subunit ribosomal RNA
Source: RNAcentral